UCCACGGUCCGCGACGGCGGACACGCUGAACCCCACCCGUUUGCCCACGGCCAAGCAGGUACCAUUCUUUCUGUUCGCCGGUUGUCCAAUAGUCUCUUCUCUCUCUGUGAGUUCCAUAGAACGCGGCCAGAAACCUCUUGCUCUCAGUUUCCGUCGAUGUGCAAGCCGCCAGGCACCACUAGCUUUAUCCCCCUGUUCCCUCAAAUCCCUCUUCUCGCUGAGCUGGACACCGCCAGGAGCCACAUCCCACCUCAACGUCGGGCCAACGCCAGGAGGCAGCAGCGCCGCCCUUCCUCUCCUGGCACGGCGGCAACAUCUCGCAGGCAGCGCCCCACCCUGCCACCUGGCACACGGCCUGCAGGCUGCAGCAUCGCAAAGCCACUGUUCCAGUCGAGCGUCGCGUGCAACCAUGCAUUUUUUUAAUUCCCUUUGGUUUACACCCAUAACCAAUGUUUUUAAGUCCCUCUCUACUACUGCUGAAAGCCUGUUUGCUCAAGUAAGUUUGUCCUUCGCGCCUAAGGUGUUUUAACUGUGCGAUAUGCGUUCAGGAAUUCAAAACACUCGGUUAGCCAAAAAGUACUACAACUUGGCUGCUUGCCACUUUCACUAUAAAGAAAAGGUAUAUUCUCCCACUCCGUCUCUGGUGUGAUUAGCUUUUCGGGGUUGGGAUGUGUGAGUAUGUGGACUUUGAUAUCCGUAUCUACAUGAUCAAUUAUUGGUAAAAAGGUAUCUCAACCUUAAAUGUAUCUAUUAUACAUAGAAGAACUAUCAACUAAGUUCAUGUUUUACCUUAUAAUUAUACAGUUGAAACUUCGCAUGUUGUCCCUACGUACAUAAUUCUAUGGAUGCACAUUCUUUUUUUUCCCAAAAAAAAAUCUCACUUGAAAGAACGAAUAUAGGGAAUCCGAUCUACAUCUUCUUAAUUGUACACGAUUUGCUGGUCGUCUGUUAACACACUAUAUUUUUCCCUUCGCAUAUUUAUUUACAUAGUUUACCGGUCGUUUAUUAGCCCAAUUUCUAAUUGAUUCUACAGGUCAGCCCUCCGUGUGGAGCGAAAACAUCUCUAAUUCCCAGGGAUUUUAACUCCGAGCACAUCAGGUACGUUUGUUCAAUACAUCUAAUCUCCCAAAUCCAUCAGCUGCUUUGCCACCUAGAACGCAGUAAUGAAUAAAUAUCAUCACAUCAACAAACAAUGUAUCGCACAACUUUAGGUCUUGGCUUAUCCCCCAUUGAUAUAUAACUAAAUUAGACGCAGAGAAUCUACUUAAUAAGAUACGUAACAUAUUAAAUGCGUUUAAAUAUUAUGACUGCUUCACUAACAUAUUGUUCGAGCAUUUCUUUUACAUAACACUUUCUAAAACAUAAGAUAGAUAAGUAGUUGAAAUCACAUACACAAACUGCACUGCUCAACAGAUUCUACUCCUUUCUUUUUUAAAACAAAAGUUGUAUGUAAUAUAAAAGUUCUUAUAAGCAUCUGAGUAUAGCUCAGAACCAAACCAAACAAUUCAAUAAAUAGUUACAUAUACACACCAAUAGUUCUGUAUCAAAUCAUAGAAACGGAUUUCAAAUGUGAUGCACAAACCAACCUGACAGCAAACCGUUUUAAAAGUGGGGGAUGUUGCAUAUUCUCUUUCGCCUGGGAGCAAUAUACUCAGAAUAGCUACAAGAAAAAAAAUAUCUGUUAUCCUACGUACCCGAAAGGUACACAAAUCAUGAAAGCAUGAACAAAAAUAAGAUCUUCCACUCCCCAUUCAUCAGCACUCAACCUGAUAUCCCCCACCACACACACGAUCUUUUUACUUUCUUAUAUAAAUCGUGUGAUGUAUUCAUAUCCAUUCUGUGCUAUGUUCAAUGCUUAACAAGAAACAUUCUUACAUGUAGUUAAGAGAUCGCACUGUUGUUGUGCUUAUUAUUAUUUAAGCAGACAUUUUGUUCUUCUGAUGAUGUUAUUAUUUUUUUUUUUGCACGUCUCUUUGUUCCUUACUAAGGAUUCAAGUUUCUGUUAAUGUGCAUAUGUCAUAUUCUUUUUAUGUACAACUUUUCCAUAGCAUCUAACCAUCUAAAUAACCCCCGUGCUUAAAUACCAAAUUCCUAAAACGAGUUGUCUAGCUAAUCAGUCCAUUAGUAAAGUAAAUAAAACAACUCACUUUUUUAUAAUUCAUGAACAGGAUCAAGCAAGGACCCGUGCGCAUCCAAAAAGAAACUCCUAAGAAACCCUCCCAAGACUGAAUGCUACCUUCUACCAUCAGCAGCCUUUGAAGUUCUAAAGUGUUUAUUUUAUAUGUUAGUAUGCAUGUUCAACCUUUUGAAGACAAUUUGUGUAAACAUAACAACUUUGUUUUAGAUGUUGAAACAGGCAAAAAUAACCACCGUCAUAAAUUACCUAACUCUGUUUAAUAACUACUGUUCAACCUUCUGUGAUAUACAUGACCAACUUUCUUAAUUGUCACUUAUAUUUCAGAAUGUGUAUCUACAUUUUACAAAUGAUAUAACAUUAUUAUCACUUACAUUACAUUUUUCUACAACGCGCGC
RNAcentral lists this long non-coding RNA (2532 nucleotides) under Zea mays. Its description in RNAcentral is "long non-coding RNA (ZMAY_LNC002052)". The record is from RNAcentral. Lineage: Eukaryota; Viridiplantae; Streptophyta; Magnoliopsida; Poales; Poaceae.